AGCUAUUCAGUAUAAAAUUAUACGUUUGUUUUGAAAACUUAAAAAGGCCUGCCAAUAGCUU
This 61-nucleotide transfer RNA is filed under the name Hyalella tiwanaku. RNAcentral describes it as "tRNA-Ser". Lineage: Eukaryota; Metazoa; Arthropoda; Malacostraca; Amphipoda; Hyalellidae. The record is from RNAcentral.